UACGUAGGGUGCGAGCGUUAAUCGGAAUUACUGGGCGUAAAGCGUGCGCAGGCGGUUCGUUAAGUUCGAUGUGAAAGCCCCGGGCUCAACCUGGGAAUGGCAUUGGAAACUGGCGGACUCGAGUGUGGCAGAGGGGGGUGGAAUUCCGCGUGUAGCAGUGAAAUGCGUAGAGAUGCGGAGGAACACCGAUGGCGAAGGCAGCCCCCUGGGCUUACACUGACGCUCAGGCACGAAAGCGUGGGGAGCAAACAGG
Molecule: ribosomal RNA, 253 nt
Filed under: uncultured bacterium
Lineage: Bacteria
Description: partial 16S ribosomal RNA
Rfam family: Bacterial small subunit ribosomal RNA
Source: RNAcentral